UUCAUGGAGAGUUUGAUCCUGGCUCAGGACGAACGCUGGCGGCGUGCCUAAUACAUGCAAGUCGAGCGGACCGACGGGAGCUUGCUCCCUUAGGUUAGCGGCGGACGGGUGAGUAACACGUGGGUAACCUGCCUGUAAGACUGGGAUAACUCCGGGAAACCGGGGCUAAUACCGGAUGCUUGAUUGAACCGCAUGGUUCAAUUAUAAAAGGUGGCUUCGGCU
Molecule: ribosomal RNA, 222 nt
Filed under: Bacillus haynesii
Lineage: Bacteria; Bacillati; Bacillota; Bacilli; Caryophanales; Bacillaceae
Description: partial 16S ribosomal RNA
Rfam family: Bacterial small subunit ribosomal RNA
Source: RNAcentral